This is a long non-coding RNA of Anneissia japonica, 2439 nucleotides long. RefSeq lists it as uncharacterized. NCBI's taxonomy places the organism in Eukaryota, Metazoa, Echinodermata, Crinoidea, Comatulida, Comatulidae. The transcript has 4 exons. The record is from RefSeq and is a predicted model, not a curated record.
UCUGUUGGUAAAAGUACGUUGUCUGUUGGUAAAAGUACAUUGUUCGUUUCACUUUUGUAUUUCUUACGCCGUAAAUGUUGAAAUAUGUAUCUGUAGCCUAUAGCUCUUAAAGCCAGGCCCUGGUGAUAAAAAUGUGGUUACGCCCUCUCCUCUCCCAACCCCCGUGAAUAUUCAAAAAUCUGUAUCUCAUUAACCGCUUCGGAGUUAUUCGCCAAAUAUGGUUUUUGUGUUUUAGAAAAAUCCACAUGUCAAAGGAAAAUUUUUCCUGCGGAGCCUGGCCUUAAAAAAUGUCACCAUAUAGGGUCGUGCCUCUAGAGUGGUAGGGAAACUAUAGGUCGCGACCUAAGGAAGACAUUUUUGUUGGGUCGUGUCAUUAUUUACAAAAAAAUAAAAAAUAAAAUCCGGAGUCAAUUUUAGAGGGUCUCUUUAUCGAUAUGCCUGAUCGCAAUAUAAAGCAUGUUUAGAGUCUAUGCACCUUAUUAUUAUUUUAAAAAAUUCAAGUCACAUUAACAUUUUACCAUAGGCCUAACCUUAAUGUUUGAUAACUAUAUUCGCCAUGCCGUUGUAUGUUUAUGGCCAGCAAACGGUACCUCGUAUCUCAUGGAUUUUAUGGUUUGGGAUAGUCCAAACAAACAUUAACAAUUAACAAAAUUAACAAUCACAAUAAUUUUGUUUGGAUCGGCAAAAUAAUAUUUUUAUUCCUCAUUAAUUAACAAGAACAGUUUAAAGUUGCCGUACUGAAUAUCAUGUUUUCUUCUAUUAUCAGAAUAAACAUGUCUUAUAACAAGGAUAUAUUUUCACUAAUAUUACGAACUUAUUGGGGUAUAUUGAUAAUAAGUUAAGGAAUAAAACGUUUUCUCAAUUCAUCUUCUACAUUAUCAUAUGAACAUAAAUAAAUUAUUAUAAGACCCAUCGACAUGACGAGCUAUCUUCACAAUAAAUAGACAGUUUGGGGAUCCAGCAAAUGAAAAUGUAAUAUUAAUUUUGCAUGUCAUGGAUGAAACUAUGUAUGUUUAAAAUGUUUAUAAAUAUGUCUUGAUGUGAAAACGAAUUGAAAUGCAAAGUCAUUCCAGCGAGUGUUCAGUAAUGAUUUAAACUGGUUCAAACUACUACGUUAACAACCUCAUGCGGAAGACUAUUCUAUGGAUCUACACUGUCUACAUCCAAAUGAAAAUGUUCUUACAUCCAACCGAGAUCUACUUUUGUAUAAUUUAAAGUCAUGACCUCUAGUCAUAUUAUGUUUAAAUUGGAAAACAUAUACUCAACAUUUACAUUACUAAAUUCGCGUGUACACUAAAAACGGUAGGCCUAUCAAUUACCUUAAACGUAGGCUAUCAACAAGAAGCAGGAAUUCACAAGUUAUUGAAAAGUGGUACCAAAAGACAGGUAUUUUAGAUUAGACAGGGGCUAUUGUUAAUUUGACAGUUACAUCUUUCGUAAACAAACUCCUAAUUUUGAUUGGAUGUUAUUGUUUUAAUCCAACCAUGCAUGGAAUAGCAUCCAACCAGAGUUAAGCUUCCUAUUUCAAAUACACCGGUAUAAAUAUUGCUGUUUCUUGGUCCGUUUCGUCUAUUCUUCUAGUGUGAGCAGCGGAGGAGGGUGUGAACGGAGAGAGAUACAGUGGGUGAGUGCCACAGUAAGCUUUAAUAAGGUUAAUGUUAAUAAAUACAAUAAUAUACUGUUAGAAGUUACUCUGACGGAGGUCAGAGGACAGGUCGAUAAUUGCUAGGCCUACGGUUGGAUUAGUCCUUAUAGCGACAGGCUAUACAGUAUCAUUUUGGGUAAAUUAAUGGGAUUAGAAAGAGGCAGGCUUAUAGAUUAGGCCUACUUUUCUACCACAUACCAUCCAUCCAUGUAUGGAAUCAAUUUUUCAAAGUUAUUCCUGCAGUUACUAAAGUUGCUCGUUUUGUAUUGCAGGUUUUGCAAGUGGAUGUCAUUUAAACUGGCUUUCAUGGGCACAAAAACAAAAAACAAAAAACACACAAAUUGUUGCGUCAGUCUGGCAAUUUCUGGCGCCAACACUGGUUAUAGGCCUGUUGUUUUUGAUUACAUCAACUGGAGUAUUUCGACGUUUGCACCUUUUUAUCCUCUUUGACGUGUUGAUUUGAUGAACGCCAUCGCGUCUUCGAGCAUCCAAGCAUCAAUCAUAAAAUAAUAAUGUUGUUGUCCACAGACAGUAUCAAUGCGACAAAUACCUUGUGUAUUGCAGAAAAAAAAUCUAGAUUUUGAUAAUGCGUGUGAAUUUCCGAAUCACAUCAGUUUGCUACGUAGACUCGUGCAUCUUCUCCUGAUAGAGAACUGUCAACAUAAAAUGAGGACGAUAACUAACGAUAAUGCGGAUAACGAGGAUGAUGUUGAUGUCAUGAUGGCGAUAGAAAUCAUGUUGGUGAUUAAUAGUAAUUGUAUGGUGAUGGAAAGUUACGAUAUUAUGAAAUGCUA